CCUACGGGAGGCUGCAGUGAGGAAUAUUGGUCAAUGGGCGCAAGCCUGAACCAGCCAAGUCGCGUGAGGGAUGACGGUCCUAUGGAUUGUAAACCUCUUUUGUCGGGGAGCAAGGCCCGCCACGUGUGGCGGGAAGGAGAGUACCCGAAGAAAAAGCAUCGGCUAACUCCGUGCCAGCAGCCGCGGUAAUACGGAGGAUGCGAGCGUUAUCCGGAUUUAUUGGGUUUAAAGGGUGCGUAGGCGGAAGGUUAAGUCAGCGGUAAAAUGUCGGGGCUCAACACCGGCCUGCCGUUGAAACUGGUCUUCUUGAGUGAGCGAGAGGUAUGCGGAAUGCGUGGGGUAGCGGUGAAAUGCAUAGAUAUCACGCAGAACUCCGAUUGCGAAGGCAGCAUACCGGCGCUCAACUGACGCUGAGGCACGAAAGCGUGGGGAUCGAACAGGAUUAGAUACCCUAGUAGUC
Molecule: ribosomal RNA, 460 nt
Filed under: uncultured bacterium
Lineage: Bacteria
Description: partial 16S ribosomal RNA
Rfam family: Bacterial small subunit ribosomal RNA
Source: RNAcentral